RNAcentral lists this ribosomal RNA (624 nucleotides) under Brevundimonas vesicularis. Its description in RNAcentral is "bacterial SSU rRNA". It matches the Rfam family "Bacterial small subunit ribosomal RNA", at positions 107 to 765 of the family's 1533-position model. The record is from RNAcentral. Lineage: Bacteria; Pseudomonadati; Pseudomonadota; Alphaproteobacteria; Caulobacterales; Caulobacteraceae.
UGAGUAACACGUGGGAACGUGCCUUUAGGUUCGGAAUAACUCAGGGAAACUUGUGCUAAUACCGAAUGUGCCCUUCGGGGGAAAGAUUUAUCGCCUUUAGAGCGGCCCGCGUCUGAUUAGCUAGUUGGUGAGGUAAAGGCUCACCAAGGCGACGAUCAGUAGCUGGUCUGAGAGGAUGAUCAGCCACAUUGGGACUGAGACACGGCCCAAACUCCUACGGGAGGCAGCAGUGGGGAAUCUUGCGCAAUGGGCGAAAGCCUGACGCAGCCAUGCCGCGUGAAUGAUGAAGGUCUUAGGAUUGUAAAAUUCUUUCACCGGGGACGAUAAUGACGGUACCCGGAGAAGAAGCCCCGGCUAACUUCGUGCCAGCAGCCGCGGUAAUACGAAGGGGGCUAGCGUUGCUCGGAAUUACUGGGCGUAAAGGGAGCGUAGGCGGACAUUUAAGUCAGGGGUGAAAUCCCGGGGCUCAACCUCGGAAUUGCCUUUGAUACUGGGUGUCUUGAGUAUGAGAGAGGUGUGUGGAACUCCGAGUGUAGAGGUGAAAUUCGUAGAUAUUCGGAAGAACACCAGUGGCGAAGGCGACACACUGGCUCAUUACUGACGCUGAGGNCUCGAAAGCGUGGG